UAACCUGCAAUUUUUCAAUCAUCUAAUGGGUCAUCCCUUUAUGAAUUAAUGAGGUUAUUGUAUAACGAAUUUAAUUUUUCUGUUGACUUUCGAAUGACUUAAUAACACAACAUUUGAGUUCUAUAAAGUAUUGCUUCCCCAGGUGAUGAUUAGUUAUAGGAACUGAGUAUUUUUGCUACAUCCUUUUUCUUAAGAGCAUGCAUUCACUUUUUUUACUAUGAAAUACCAAUCACUAGAUUUUGGAUCAUUGGUACCUUGAGCAUGCACAUGAGAAAGGUAUUACAACCACAACUUUAUCGCGUGAUGGAUAACAGAUAUUCAGAUCCCUCUUUUGAUACAGUUGCAAUGUUUCUUACAAUCAUAUAUACCACCAAUUUGAAUUUACAAUGGAGUUACAAUGAUAGGUGACAAAACAGCAGCUGCAUCCCCUUUGACUUUGCCAACUUUUAUGACAGUUGAUAGACUAUCAUGGAAUUAGAUAAAAACUCCUUUAUCAAGCAGAUUCAUUCAGUUUAGUUAUCUCUUACGCUACACGUCUUUCAUCUAAUUACAUAGGUUGGUCUGUGUCCGUGUUAGCUAGGAUGGAAUCUUAGGUUUAUCCUUUUUUACAUUGCGCUUGUGUGGUCCAUCGAUAUUUCAAAUGUAUAGUUCACUGCUUCCAAAUGAAACGUACUUUCCUUAGCUUGAUUUUUAUUUUAUGGUUAUUGGAUUACAAAGUUAAAGGUAUGCUAUUAACCUGGAAUUAAUCACCUUGCAAGAAGGUAUGUGAUUUUAUUAGCGUCGGAUUGUUCUAAUCUAUAUUUUAUUCACCAGUUUUUUGUUGAUCGGGUAUUGGGGACGAAGAGAAGAACUGGACAUGAUGUUGGUCAAGAGUUGGCUCCUAUCAUUUUAGUUCCAAAUCAAACUGCCAUGAUAAUUUGUUUUGGCAAUAUAUUCUUGCCAAGAGCAAUUGUGGUGUCGCUGCCAAUAGGUGCCACAAGUAUCAGCAUUAUCUGGGAAGAGGAAGCCAUGACAAGGUGCAGCAGUUCAUGGCCAUAACCGGUGCAAGGUGUUGUAGAGGCGCACAUGGGAGAUGUUCGAGUCGCUCGGAGGGGAAGUCUACAAUUGGAGGGUUGGGUGAAACUUUGAGAGAGAUGCUGUGCACGUGCAAGAGGAAAACCUGCCGGCCACCAUGAUGCUUGUGCUAUCAAGCUCAACGCAAUAGCGCAGAGAGAGGAUCAUUUUGUAGCAUAUGGAAUUGCCGUUAGAGUUUCCUGGACAAGUAUCACUGCUACUCUCUCUCUGUACCAGUUCAAUGAAUUGCUAUUUAUUACUACUUGGUUGAUCUUCUA
Non-coding RNA from Lolium perenne, 1331 nucleotides. The record is from RefSeq and is a predicted model, not a curated record. NCBI's taxonomy places the organism in Eukaryota, Viridiplantae, Streptophyta, Magnoliopsida, Poales, Poaceae.